This 970-nucleotide ribosomal RNA is filed under the name Candidatus Mycoplasma turicense. Its description in RNAcentral is "bacterial SSU rRNA". It matches the Rfam family "Bacterial small subunit ribosomal RNA", at positions 197 to 1209 of the family's 1533-position model. Lineage: Bacteria; Bacillati; Mycoplasmatota; Mollicutes; Mycoplasmatales; Mycoplasmataceae. The record is from RNAcentral.
AAGGAAUAAGGGUGCAAACCCGCCGGAGGAUUGGAAUAUGUCCUAUUAGCUAGUUGGCGGGAUAAAAGCCCACCAAGGCGAUGAUAGGUAGCUGGUCUAAGAGGAUGAACAGCCACAAUGGGAUUGAGAUACGGCCCAUAUUCCUACGGGAAGCAGCAGUAGGGAAUCUUCCACAAUGGGCGAAAGCCUGAUGGAGCAAUGCCAUGUGAACGAUGAAGGCCAGACAGGUCGUAAAGUUCUUUUAGAGGGGAAAAAUUUGAUGGUACCCUCUGAAUAAGUGACAGCAAACUAUGUGCCAGCAGCUGCGGUAAUACAUAGGUCGCGAGCGUUAUUCGGAUUUAUUGGGCGUAAAGCAAGCGCAGGCGGAUGAAUAAGUUCUGCAUUAAAAGCAGCUGCUUAACAGUUGUUUGUGCCGAAUACUAUUCAUCUAGAAUGUGGUAGGAAGUUUUGGAAUUAAAUAUGGAGCGGUGGAAUGUGUAGAUAUAUUUAAGAACACCAGAGGCGAAGGCGAAAACUUAGGCCAUUAUUGACGCUUAGGCUUGAAAGUGUGGGUAGCAAAUGGGAUUAGAUACCCCAGUAGUCCACACCGUAAACGAUGGGUAUUAGAUGUCGGGAUUUGUGUUUCGGCGUUGUAGCUUACGUGUUAAAUACCCCGCCUGGGUAGUACAUAUGCAAAUAUGAAACUCAAAGGAAUUGACGGGGACCUGAACAAGUGGUGGAACAUGUUGCUUAAUUCGAUAAUACACGAAAAACCUUACCAAGGUUUGACAUCCUUUGCAAAGCCAUAGAAAUAUGGUGGAGGUUAUCAGAGUGACAGGUGGUGCAUGGUUGUCGUCAGCUCGUGUCAUGAGAUGUUUGGUUAAGUCCCGCAACGAGCGCAACCCUACUCUUUAGUUGAUUGUCUAAAGAGACUGAACAGUAAUGUAUAGGAAGGAUGGGAUCACGUCAAAUCAUCAUGCCCCUUAUGCCU